CUAGGCUUGACAUCCCUCGAAUGUGCUAGAAAUAGCACAGUCCUUUCGGGGACGAGGAGACAGGUGCUGCAUGGCUGUCGUCAGCUCGUGUCGUGAGAUGUUGGGUUAAGUCCCGCAACGAGCGCAACCCUUACCCUUAGUUGCCAGCGGGUAAUGCCGGGAACUCUAAGGGAACUGCCGGUGAUAAACCGGAGGAAGGUGAGGAUGACGUCAAGUCCUCAUGGCCUUUAUGCCUAGGGCUACACACGUGCUACAAUGGCCGGUACAAAGGGUCGCAAGCCCGCGAGGGGGAGCCAAUCCCAAAAAGCCGGUCUCAGUUCAGAUUGCAGGCUGCAACUCGCCUGCAUGAAGGCGGAAUCGCUAGUAACCCCGGAUCAGCAUGCCGGGGUGAAUACGUUCCC
Molecule: ribosomal RNA, 401 nt
Filed under: uncultured bacterium
Lineage: Bacteria
Description: bacterial SSU rRNA
Rfam family: Bacterial small subunit ribosomal RNA
Source: RNAcentral